CUGAAUUCUUACAUGUUGUCUGAUCUUCAGGCUCAAAUACCCAAGAGAAUAGGCAGCUGUGAAUCAACCCUCUGUGUGCUUUCUAGCAGGUAGUAUAGCACAGAAGGCAGUAUACUUCUCAUUUCUUUAAAUUGAUAGGGAUUUGAAGGAAAAGACUUUAAUAAAACAGUCACAUGAAUGAUUAUUUUCUUCCUGCUGAUGAUUCUGAACUGCAUGCAGAAAUAUAAGAACCUUUUAACAGAGCCCUAUGGGUUUAAACCCAGUCCUUUAGAUUUAUAAUUAAAGCUCAUUGUCUUUAUGCUGUCCUACACCUUAUGAGAAGGAUCACCUUUCUAAUUACAUGGUACCAGGAGGUCUGUCACAUGCUUUCACUUAGUGUUAAGGUACACAGUUGUGCUAUUUUUUCUUCUCCUUUUCCUUCUUCAGUAGAUUCUACAUUAUGUUUUGGAAAUUUGACAUCAUGAUAUUAUUAUUUUUUUCAGGCCAGAUGUUUUGUCCUGCUAUGUUAAGUCAUCUUGACAUACUGCCAUGAAAUGGAAACAACUGCUAGUUUUAACAUUGCUCCAUAUCUUUAUUAAAAGAGUCAUCAAUCUCAUGAGAGUCAUCUUGCCAUCUGUACCAGCAUUGCUCCAGGCUUCCAUAUGAAAGUCCAAUCUGGCGGUAUAAAUACUGGAUAAUGAAGAGGGAAAAGAAUUAUCUUCCUGAUGGUCUUGCGUCCUCUGUGCUGGAUCUGCAGCUGUUUUCCACCUGUAAACUUGCCACUUGUUGGUCAAGCUUUUCGGCACUUAUUCAAAUAAAAUUCUUAGGCACUCAGUUGAGAUUGGUAAUUUUUUUGUUUUGGUUGGCAUAAGAACUGAAGAAAACAUGCCCAGAUCAGGGACCAGCCAACAUCCUCUUUAACUGCAGCCAGCAGAACCGAUGUGCUUUGGAUACAGCUAACAAAUAUUGGAGGCCUGAGAGGAUACCGUUCGUUUUUCCUUCUCUGACCUGCUAGUACUGCUUCACUCCCCUGCUCUGUGCAAGCAGGUAGGAACUCUGAGCUUCUUUUUACACAGCCCAGGAAGAUGCAAUGUCCUUUUCUAUCUGAAGCUGCUGAAUCUGCCAUAUACCAGGUUCACCACAUUACUAACACAGCGUUGAGCCUGAUCCUGCUAGAAGAAGCAUUUCUGUAGACAGUAUUUGGGCCACAUCAGGACUACAGUGUUAGCAAUGAAUAAGGUAGAGAAAAUAAUGGUGCUUUUGUAUCCUGAUGUGUAUCCUCUGUCCAAUACUGAUAAGCAUAUUACUGAUAAUAUGGCCAUAAUUCUGGUUAUAGUACAGUUCUCCUUGACACUCCCAUUGUUCAUACUCCAGUCUCCCAAAUAAGUGAGGUUGAAUUAGGCUUAUUACUGUUUUUCACUCUUAGAUUACCCUCUUAGUGUACUGGACUCCAGCCCCUUUAAUUAAAAGCUUGUGAACAUGCAUCCCAUAAAUAAUUUCUCACCUUCACAGCUGUUUUUUUUUUUUUUUUUUUCUUUUUUUUUUUUUUUUCUUUUUAAACGGAGCUAAUUGAUGUUUUUGAGAAAACAUUUUCCUAUUCUUUUCCUACUGUUAUGAUUCUCUUCAAUUUUUCAGUUCUGGAAACACUACCAUGACUUAUUCAUUUUGCAAUCAUAGAGACAUUUCCUAAAAUGUAUAGAAACAGUUUCUCAGUGAACAUGUACAAUUUUUCAUCUCUCAUUAAAGACCAUAAAUUUUUAUCCCAGCUACUCAUCAGAUAGUAUUGAUAAUUACUUUUGUUAACCAAC
RNAcentral lists this long non-coding RNA (1787 nucleotides) under Anas platyrhynchos platyrhynchos (common mallard). RNAcentral describes it as "lncRNA (ENSAPLG00000026617.1)". Lineage: Eukaryota; Metazoa; Chordata; Aves; Anseriformes; Anatidae. The record is from RNAcentral.